AGUGUGUGCCUUGUGCUAAGCGCUGUGGUGGGCUGUGGAGACAUGACAGUAAAAAAGGACAGCACCUUGCCUCAGGGAGUUUACUCCUCAGCAAACACACAAGGUAAACUUCAGAAGGUGUCAAAUGCUGCGAUGAAAAUAAACAGAGGGAUAUGACAGUCAUGGAGGUGCCCUGAGGAGGUCCUUCUGAGGAGAGAACAUUUGCCUUGAGACUCCAUGUCUGUAAACUGCCGCCAGCAUGACUCUAGGUCCGGGCUUCCCGACCUUGGGCAUGCAUUUGAGCCACUUGGAGGGGGCUUGUGACGACGCACAGGUGGGCCUCAUGCCAGAGCGUCUGAUUCAGGAGAUCUGAGUGGGGCCCAGACUUGCGUGUUUAUGAAGUUCCCAGGUGAUGCCGACGCCGCCAGUCCUUGGACCACUUUGAGAAUCAUGCUCUAAGCAGGUUACUGAUUCUCUGAGUCUUUUCUUCACCUGUGAAAUUGCCCUUCUUUCCUGGUUGAUGUUACCAUCAAAUGAGAUAAAGCCCUUUGUAAAGAAUAAAAAAGACACACAGGGGGAAUGAUCAACUUGAUGUUUAAUAAUCACUGCACCCGUGUGUUUCUCACAACCUACAAGGAAUGUGCGCACGUUAACGCUGCAGCGGGUGCCUUAGGAGCGUAAGUCUGGCUGACUCCCGCACGACGUGCAUGCUUGAGCCCAGCGGUGCCGCAGGGGACGGACGCCUGCCUGGCCCUGCCCCGGGGGAGCCUGGGAUUCGCUCCUGCUGUUCACUCCACAGACACAGGCUGGAUGACCCCCAGCAUCUGUGGUUUUUGUUACCCCUCAUCUCCCCCCACGCCUCCCCAAGGAAAAGUCGUCCCGUGAGUCACCCGGAGGCCCGGGAGGAGGCCACGGCUGCUCGGCCGGCAGCUGGCCACUGAGGGGCAGGAGGGGUGGUGCUGCCUCCUUGGGCUUUGAAGAGAAACUCCAUAGAUUCACAGACUCCCAGAACCUCGGCCUCUGGAACGUGUGCAUAUGAUAUACACUUGGUGUGUACAUUUUUUAUUUGUAUUCACUCACAGGGUCAGCAAAUAUUUGUUGAAUAUCUGCUACGAAGCAGCCUCUGAGGAUACAGCCGUGACAAAAUAAAGUGCCCCUUUCAUGGA
Long non-coding RNA from Aethalodelphis obliquidens (Pacific white-sided dolphin), 1145 nucleotides. RefSeq lists it as uncharacterized. The record is from RefSeq and is a predicted model, not a curated record. The transcript has 2 exons. NCBI's taxonomy places the organism in Eukaryota, Metazoa, Chordata, Mammalia, Artiodactyla, Delphinidae.